This 29-nucleotide non-coding RNA is filed under the name Homo sapiens (human). Lineage: Eukaryota; Metazoa; Chordata; Mammalia; Primates; Hominidae. The record is from RNAcentral.
UGACAGAAGCCUAGAACAACAUACCGUGA